RNAcentral lists this ribosomal RNA (467 nucleotides) under uncultured bacterium. Its description in RNAcentral is "partial 16S ribosomal RNA". It matches the Rfam family "Bacterial small subunit ribosomal RNA", at positions 28 to 507 of the family's 1533-position model. The record is from RNAcentral.
GACGAACGCUGGCGGCGUGCUUAACACAUGCAAGUCGAACGGAAGGCCCUGCUUUUGUGGGGUGCUCGAGUGGCGAACGGGUGAGUAACACGUGAGUAACCUGCCCUUGACUUUGGGAUAACUUCAGGAAACUGGGGCUAAUACCGGAUAGGAGCUCCUGCUGCAUGGUGGGGGUUGGAAAGUUUCGGCGGUUGGGGAUGGACUCGCGGCUUAUCAGCUUGUUGGUGGGGUAGUGACUUACCAAGGCUUUGACGGGUAGCCGGCCUGAGAGGGUGACCGGCCACAUUGGGACUGAGAUACGGCCCAGACUCCUACGGGAGGCAGCAGUGGGGAAUAUUGCACAAUGGGCGGAAGCCUGAUGCAGCAACGCCGCGUGCGGGAUGACGGCCUUCGGGUUGUAAACCGCUUUCGCCUGUGACGAAGCGUGAGUGACGGUAAUGGGUAAAGAAGCACCGGCUAACUACGUG